ACGAUAGCUGUCGGCGUUCUUUUAUUGCAAGUAGAAGCUGAAUAGGAGCUUGCUUUUCUGGAGGAGUUUCGAACGGGUAAGUAACGCGUACUAACCUGCCUGGUAUCUGGGGAUAACUGUUGUGAACUAUUGUUAAUACCGUUAAUAGCAGUUAUUGCUUGAUGCUGUUUGAAAGGUGCAAUUGCUUUACUUCCCAUGUACCUGCGUUGUAGUAACUGGUUGGGGAGGAAACUGGUGACUAACGCAUUGAUUCGUGGUCGGCUGAGAGGGUUAUCAGAUUCC
Molecule: ribosomal RNA, 282 nt
Filed under: Streptococcus anginosus
Lineage: Bacteria; Bacillati; Bacillota; Bacilli; Lactobacillales; Streptococcaceae
Description: partial 16S ribosomal RNA
Source: RNAcentral